GGGGGUGCGCGGACCGAGGGGGGCCUGGCGCGCCCCGCCGCCGUUCCGAGUUGGGGGGUUUCUGUGUUGUGGGUCCGGGAAGAAGCGAGCGUGGAAAGGUGCCGGGUUCUCGAACGCUGUUUCUGUCCACUGCCACCCUCCUCCCCGUUCUGGGAGUGGGAUUAAGUCGUGUCUGUGGGUCUGGCCAUCUCCGGAGUCUGCAGCUUGGGGCCGAUUCCUCGGUCUCUACCUCCUGUUGCAGGUCUUUUUCGGGCUCUGUGGCUUCUUUGGUUCACGCGUCUCCCGACACGCAUACGCACAGUCCUGAACAUCUUGGGCAGAUAAAGGAACUUCAACUUCAUCUUGUGCUUUGGGAGAGAUGGUGGAGCAAAGAGGGGAGGCCAGAGAGAUUUUGCGGCUUCUUCAGUUCAGCAUGUCAAAACACUAUACUUGGGAUGUUGAUUUCUGAGCCCCAACAAUACUGAUUUCCAGACCAGACUUUAGGCAAAGAAAGAACAGACUUCAAGCAAACUUUUCUCUACUGAAUAGGAUUAUAUAUUUUAUCACCUUGUGAAGAAUUUCAUCAGAAACAACAUCUCAUUGCAUAUUUGCAUCUUUUCUUGAAAAUUCCUCAAAUAUAUCUAUUGUGGGCAAUUACAUGAAUUCAUCUUUAUUUUUUGGCUACUUAUGCUUACACAGAACUGAUACUCAAAGCCAAUGUGAGAAUUAGAACUCACAAAAAUGAUCACUUUUUUGAAAGGUCCUUAAUCAUUCAACAGAGACAUAAUAACUUUAUUGGAUGGAGCAAUACUUCUUGCUAAUCAGCAUAUACACACCCAGUGACCUUGCAUGAAGAAGCAGCCUGUCUGCAGAAGAUUGCAUCUCAUCUAUACAAAGCAGGAGUGAUGUUGUCAAUGUGUGUGUGUGCAUGCAUUUAUGUAUCUGUAUGCUUGUGCAGAGAGGGGAAGAUGGGGGAGGGGAUGUGGCUUUGUUACUUAGCUUGCUUGAUUUUUAUCCACAGUUAUUAAGAGGUAAAACAUUGUAGCUCAACCCCUAGAAGUGGUCGUUUGCUUUACAGAGAGGAAAAUCUCUGCCCCCUUACCAUGGCUUGCAUUUCCAGCCCCAAAAGGCAAAAACAGGGAGCACGUAACUCAGUGGAAUCAAUAGCACGACCAGAAAGUCAAUUCAGUCAUAUGAUGGUGGAUCAGUAUCAUCAUUGUAAAGGAGAGGAGAUCACUGUACUGUCAGAUGCAUCACUCUGACUUUCCCCCAUCACUGUGGAAAAAGGAGGGAAAAAAGCCUUCAAUCAUAAUAGGAAAGGUAAACAGUUUUUCAAACUUACAAACAUAUGUACAUGUCUUCCUCUGUAUCAUUUCAUGUAUGUUGUUUUUAUGUAUGUACCUGUACAAAAAGAUGUAAAUAUCACUUAACCUUGAGUAAUAUAAUAAUACAUGUGAAUUCUAAUUUUAGUUCCACUAAGUAUUAAUAAUUAAUGGUAACUUCGUUGAGUGUGAGAAUUCCACAAGGUUGCGUUAGAAUUCUGAAUGACAUUUUGUUUUUGCUUUAUUGGGCUUUGAUAUGUCAGACAAGAGAAUUCAACUUUUCUCCUGUGUGAAUGAAUUCAAUAGUCUGUUGAGAGAGAUGCCAGUUUUUAGGUUGCAUCCACCAUUUUUAUUUUUAGCUCCAUCUGUUGUCUUUAAUCAAGUUGCUGUUAAAACUCUGAUAAAAUACUUGGUUUGUAGCAUUGGUAUUGUCCCCACCAGCUUCCCUAAAAUGAGCGCUCCGAUUCUAAUCCCCAAAGAUGUUUGAAUUUGUCUCCAGUUGACAUCCAAAAGUCUCAUCUUCCUGGAUUUCCUUCCUCCUCUUGCCCCCUCUGCCCUUUCCCACUAUCCCAGUUCCUAGCAUCUCCCUGACCCUUGGGUUAGAGCCCAGGGAGAUGGACCACUGAAUCCAACCUGGGAAAAUGACAGGAAGUACGUGCAUUCUUCAAAGUGAGGCAUUUGCUGUUAUUGAGCAUCUAUUUUAACAUAACUCAGAUGCAGUGGUAUUAAUUUGUAUAUGAAUAUUUCAUUUAAUAAUAAUGAUUGAGACUGUCCUCUAUAUCAGAGGUAAGCAUAUACAGUACAGCCUGUUCUUUAACUCCUUUUUCCUCACCUGACUCAAUUUUCUGUUGAUUAAAUGUUAGACUGAGAAUGAAAGUAUACUUGUUAGAUUUGGCUACUUAUUGAAAGCUGCAGUUUUGGCUAGGCAUAGUGUGGCUUAUACCUGUAAUCCCAGCACACUGGAAGGCUGA
This 2272-nucleotide long non-coding RNA is filed under the name Homo sapiens (human). RNAcentral describes it as "HSALNT0316732". Lineage: Eukaryota; Metazoa; Chordata; Mammalia; Primates; Hominidae. The record is from RNAcentral.